RNAcentral lists this ribosomal RNA (845 nucleotides) under Acinetobacter sp. Its description in RNAcentral is "bacterial SSU rRNA". It matches the Rfam family "Bacterial small subunit ribosomal RNA", at positions 221 to 1056 of the family's 1533-position model. The record is from RNAcentral. Lineage: Bacteria; Pseudomonadati; Pseudomonadota; Gammaproteobacteria; Moraxellales; Moraxellaceae.
AURGAUGAGCCUAMGUCGGAUUAGMUAGUUGGUGGKGUAAAGGCCUASCCAARRYGACGAUCKGUMSCGGGUCUGAGAGGAUGAUCYGCCRCACUGGGACUGAGACACGGCCCAGACUCCUAYGGGAGGCAGCAGUGGGGAAUAUUGGACAAUGGGGGGAACCCUGAUCCAGCCAUGCCGCGUGUGUGAAGAAGGCCUUAUGGUUGUAAAGCACUUUAAGCGAGGAGGAGGCUACUGAGACUAAUACUCUUGGAUAGUGGACGUUACUCGCAGAAUAAGCACCGGCUAACUCUGUGCCAGCAGCCGCGGUAAUACAGAGGGUGCGAGCGUUAAUCGGAUUUACUGGGCGUAAAGCGUGCGUAGGCGGCUUUUUAAGUCGGAUGUGAAAUCCCCGAGCUUAACUUGGGAAUUGCAUUCGAUACUGGGAAGCUAGAGUAUGGGAGAGGAUGGUAGAAUUCCAGGUGUAGCGGUGAAAUGCGUAGAGAUCUGGAGGAAUACCGAUGGCGAAGGCAGCCAUCUGGCCUAAUACUGACGCUGAGGUACGAAAGCAUGGGGAGCAAACAGGAUUAGAUACCCUGGUAGUCCAUGCCGUAAACGAUGUCUACUAGCCGUUGGGGCCUUUGAGGCUUUAGUGGCGCAGCUAACGCGAUAAGUAGACCGCCUGGGGAGUACGGUCGCAAGACUAAAACUCAAAUGAAUUGACGGGGGCCCGCACAAGCGGUGGAGCAUGUGGUUUAAUUCGAUGCAACGCGAAGAACCUUACCUGGCCUUGACAUACUAGAAACUUUCCAGAGAUGGAUUGGUGCCUUCGGGAAUCUAGAUACAGGUGCUGCAUGGCUGUCGUC